RNAcentral lists this ribosomal RNA (184 nucleotides) under Burkholderia pseudomallei. Its description in RNAcentral is "partial 16S ribosomal RNA". It matches the Rfam family "Bacterial small subunit ribosomal RNA", at positions 1 to 181 of the family's 1533-position model. The record is from RNAcentral. Lineage: Bacteria; Pseudomonadati; Pseudomonadota; Betaproteobacteria; Burkholderiales; Burkholderiaceae.
AUUGAACUGAAGAGUUUGAUCCUGGCUCAGAUUGAACGCUGGCGGCAUGCCUUACACAUGCAAGUCGAACGGCAGCACGGGCUUCGGCCUGGUGGCGAGUGGCGAACGGGUGAGUAAUACAUCGGAACAUGUCCUGUAGUGGGGGAUAGCCCGGCGAAAGCCGGAUUAAUACCGCAUACGAUCU